GAUGAACGCUGGCGGCGUGCCUAAUACAUGCAAUUCGAGCGAACGGACGAGAAGCUUGCUUCUCUGCUGUUAGCUGCGGACGGGUGAGUAACACGUGGAUAACCUACCUAUAAGACUGGGAUAACUUCUGGAAACCGUAGCUAAUACCGGAUAAUAUUUUGAACCGCAUGGUUCAAAAGUUAAAGACGGUCUUGCUGUCACUUAUAGAUGGAUCCGCGCUGCAUUAGCUAGUUGGUAAGGUAACGGCUUACCAAGGCAACGAUGCAUAGCCGACCUGAGAGGGUGAUCGGCCACACUGGAACUGAGACACGGUCCAGACUCCUACGGGAGGCAGCAGUAGGGAAUCUUCCGCAAUGGGCGAAAGCCUGACGGAGCAACGCCGCGUGAGUGAUGAAGGUCUUCGGAUCGUAAAACUCUGUUAUUAGGGAAGAACAGAUGUGUAAGUAAAUGUGCACAUAUUGACGGUACCUAAUCAGAAAGCCACGGCUAACUACGUG
This 497-nucleotide ribosomal RNA is filed under the name uncultured bacterium. RNAcentral's name for it is "partial 16S ribosomal RNA". It matches the Rfam family "Bacterial small subunit ribosomal RNA", at positions 28 to 507 of the family's 1533-position model. The record is from RNAcentral.